UAGCUCAGUCGGUAGAGCAGGGGAUUGAAAAUCCCCGUGUCGGCGGUUCGAUUCCG
RNAcentral lists this transfer RNA (56 nucleotides) under Pseudomonas sp. RNAcentral describes it as "tRNA-Phe". It matches the Rfam family "tRNA", at positions 8 to 61 of the family's 71-position model. Rfam says of the family: Transfer RNA (tRNA) molecules are approximately 80 nucleotides in length. Their secondary structure includes four short double-helical elements and three loops (D, anti-codon, and T loops). Further hydrogen bonds mediate the characteristic L-shaped molecular structure. tRNAs have two regions of fundamental functional importance: the anti-codon, which is responsible for specific mRNA codon recognition, and the 3' end, to which the tRNAs corresponding amino acid is attached (by aminoacyl-tRNA synthetases). tRNAs cope with the degeneracy of the genetic code in two manners: having more than one tRNA (with a specific anti-codon) for a particular amino acid; and 'wobble' base-pairing, i.e. permitting non-standard base-pairing at the 3rd anti-codon position. The record is from RNAcentral. Lineage: Bacteria; Pseudomonadati; Pseudomonadota; Gammaproteobacteria; Pseudomonadales; Pseudomonadaceae.